RNAcentral lists this unclassified non-coding RNA (346 nucleotides) under soil metagenome. Its description in RNAcentral is "partial contains 5.8S ribosomal RNA, internal transcribed spacer 2, and large subunit ribosomal RNA". The stretch from base 1 to 119 matches the Rfam family "5.8S ribosomal RNA", at positions 35 to 154 of the family's 154-position model. The record is from RNAcentral.
GAUGAAGAACGCAGCGAAAUGCGAUAAGUAAUGCGAAUUGCAGAAUCCGUGAGUCAUCGAAUCUUUGAACGCACAUUGCGCCCCCUGGUAUUCCGGGGGGCAUGCCUGUCCGAGCGUCAUUGCUGCCCUCAAGCACGGCUUGUGUGUUGGGCCCCGUCCUCCGAUCCCGGGGGACGGGCCCGAAAGGCAGCGGCGGCACCGCGUCCGGUCCUCGAGCGUAUGGGGCUUUGUCACCCGCUCUGUAGGCCCGGCCGGCGCUUGCCGAUCAACCCAAAUUUUUUAUCCAGGUUGACCUCGGAUCAGGUAGGGAUACCCGCUGAACUUAAGCAUAUCAAUAAGCGGAGGA